GGCGGACGGGUGAGUAACGCGUAAAGAACUUGCCCUUUAGACUGGGAUAACAGAGGGAAACUUCUGAUAAUACUGGAUAAGUUAGUAUAUCGCAUGAUAUACAAAUGAAAGCUACGGCACUAAAGGAGAGCUUUGCGUCCUAUUAGCUAGUUGGUAAGGUAAGAGCUUACCAAGGCGAUGAUAGGUAGCCGGCCUGAGAGGGUGGACGGCCACAAGGGGACUGAGAUACGGCCCUUACUCCUACGGGAGGCAGCAGUC
Molecule: ribosomal RNA, 258 nt
Filed under: uncultured Leptotrichia sp.
Lineage: Bacteria; Fusobacteriati; Fusobacteriota; Fusobacteriia; Fusobacteriales; Leptotrichiaceae
Description: partial 16S ribosomal RNA
Rfam family: Bacterial small subunit ribosomal RNA
Source: RNAcentral